This 572-nucleotide ribosomal RNA is filed under the name Paenibacillus sp. RNAcentral's name for it is "bacterial SSU rRNA". It matches the Rfam family "Bacterial small subunit ribosomal RNA", at positions 215 to 780 of the family's 1533-position model. The record is from RNAcentral. Lineage: Bacteria; Bacillati; Bacillota; Bacilli; Caryophanales; Paenibacillaceae.
UCACUUGAGGAUGGGCCUGCGGCGCAUUAGCUAGUUGGUGGGGUAACGGCCCACCAAGGCGACGAUGCGUAGCCGACCUGAGAGGGUGAACGGCCACACUGGGACUGAGACACGGCCCACACUCCUACGGGAGGCAGCAGUAGGGAAUCUUCCGCAAUGGGCGAAAGCCUGACGGAGCAACGCCGCGUGAGUGAUGAAGGUUUUCGGAUCGUAAAGCUCUGUUGCCAAGGAAGAACGUCUUCUAGAGUAACUGCUAGGAGAGUGACGGUACUUGAAAAAAAGGCCCCGGCUAACUACGUGCCAGCAGCCGCGGUAAUACGUAGGGGGCAGGCGUUGUCCGGAAUUAUUGGGCGUAAAGCGCGCGCACGCGGUUCUUUAAGUCUGGUGUUUAAACCCGAGGCUCAACUUCGGGUCGCACUGGAAACUGGGGAACUUGAGUGCAGAAGAGGAGAGUGGAAUUCCACGUGUAGCGGUGAAAUGCGUAGAUAUGUGGAGGAACACCAGUGGCGAACGCGACUCUCUGGGCUGUAACUGACGCUGACGCGCGAAAGCGUGGGGAGCAGACAGGAUUA